Molecule: small RNA, 795 nt
Filed under: uncultured Glomus
Lineage: Eukaryota; Fungi; Glomeromycota; Glomeromycetes; Glomerales; Glomeraceae
Description: SSU rRNA
Rfam family: Eukaryotic small subunit ribosomal RNA
Source: RNAcentral
AUCAACUUUCGAUGGUAGGAUAGAGGCCUACCAUGGUGGUAACGGGUAACGGGGUGUUAGGGCACGACACCGGAGAGGGAGCCUGAGAAACGGCUACCACAUCCAAGGAUGGCAGCAGGCGCGCAAAUUACCCAAUCCCGACACGGGGAGGUAGUGACAAUAAAUAACAAUACGGGGUUCUUACGGAUCUCGUAAUUGGAAUGAGUACAAUUUAAAUCUCUUAACGAGGAACAAUUGGAGGGCAAGUCUGGUGCCAGCAGCCGCGGUAAUUCCAGCUCCAAUAGCGUAUAUUAAAGUUGUUGCAGUUAAAAAGCUCGUAGUUGAAUUUCGGGAUCAAUAUGUCGGUCGUGCCUCGGUACGUACUGGCAUCAUUGGUUUCUCCCUUCUGAUGAACCAUGAUGCCAUUAAUUUGGUGUCGUGGGGAAUCAGGACUGUUACUUUGAAAAAAUUAGAGUGUUUAAAGCAGGCUCACGCUUGAAUACAUUAGCAUGGAAUAAUGAAAUAGGACGUUUGAUUCUAUUUUGUUGGUUUCUAGGAUCGACGUAAUGAUUAAUAGGGAUAGUUGGGGGCAUUAGUAUUCAAUUGUCAGAGGUGAAAUUCUUGGAUUUAUGAAAGACUAACUUCUGCGAAAGCAUUUGCCAAGGAUGUUUUCAUUAAUCAAGAACGAAAGUUAGGGGAUCGAAGACGAUCAGAUACCGUCGUAGUCUUAACCAUAAACUAUGCCGACUAGGGAUCGGGCGGUGUUAUUAUUUUGACUCGCUCGGCACCUUACGGGAAACCAAAGUGUUUGGGUUC